UACGGAGGGUGCAAGCAUUAAUCGGAUUUACUGGGCGUAAAGGGCGCGUAGGCGGAUCUACAAGUCAAAUGUGAAAUUCCGGAGCUCAACUUCGGAGCGGCAUUUGAAACUGUAGGUCUAUAGAGGGAUGGCGGAGAAAAUGGAAUUCCACAUGUAGCGGUGAAAUGCGUAGAUAUGUGGAAGAACACCGGUGGCGAAAGCGGUUUUCUAGCUAUUACCUGACGCUGAGGCGCGAGAGCAUGGGGAGCAAACGGG
This 255-nucleotide ribosomal RNA is filed under the name uncultured bacterium. RNAcentral's name for it is "partial 16S ribosomal RNA". It matches the Rfam family "Bacterial small subunit ribosomal RNA", at positions 524 to 776 of the family's 1533-position model. The record is from RNAcentral.